GUGAACACCGUCAAUGAGAAGAUGGCCGCUGUGUUCGGUGGAAGUGUCGCCAUUGUUUAGUGUUUUAAUUUGUUGUUAAUAACCGAGUGUGUGUUGAGGAUCGUUUAUUUAUUUUGGGAACUUAAACCGACGGAGAAGAUGCCGAGUGCACCGUUCAGUUCCUCACGUAAUUACGUUAGACGUUCCAGAAGGAGGACUGCCAACAGGAUUCCUCUGCCAUCAAGAACAUCAUCGGUUGAACCAUGUGAUCUUCUUUGUCCAGCGUCGAACCCAAUGCCAUUGAGCGGUGGAGGAGCCGGUGGAGCUCGUGGAUCGUCACCAAGUGUUUCAGGCGUAGCAGCCCCCUCACCCUCGCCAAACCAUUCACACUCAUCGCCGUAUGACCUGAGACGGAAAAGCCCACCACAUCCGGAUCCAGCACCAGGUUCCAGUUCGGCAUUACCUCCUCAGGGUGGGAGUAGCAUCGUUGCUGCACUUGGUUCCUUUUCUCUGCCAGCGAGAAAACGACCCAGACGAACAUGCUCACUGUCAACCGAUGGUACCAACACGAACACAGCGGCACACUAUCUCUUGUAUGAACUCCCAGACGAGGUGUUGCUGACGAUAUUCAAUUUCUUCCUGGAAAUAGACCUAUGCCGUAUGUCACAAGUUUGCAAACGUUUUCAAGCAAUCGCCAACGAUACUGAACUUUGGAAAUCACUCUAUCAGCAAGUAUAUCAAUAUGACUUGCCGCUAUUUAAUCCAGCACCCUGUAAAUUUGAAUUUGUAUCGCCGGAUGACUCUGAUUAUCCAAAUCCCUGGAAGGAAAGUUUUCGACAGCUGUAUCGAGGAGUUCACGUAAGACCUGGUUUUCAAGAUCUUAAAUUUAAGGGUAGAAAUUUGCCAUACUUUAACACUGUACAAGGAGCUCUUGAUUACGUUGAUGAGUACAGAAGUAAUAAUGGAAAUAACACGGCAAGUGGGAGCACCAGUAGCACUUCCAGUCAAAACAGUAAUGCCUCAUCUUCAACGUCAAAUAGUCAAAAUAAUGGUUGCGCUAACAUCGCUACACUAUUUCCAGAGGAUGCGCCUCAACAUAUUAUUUUCUUACACGCUGGUACAUAUCGUGGCGAGUUUCUCGUUAUUGACAGUGACGUUGCGCUUAUUGGAGCUGCUCCUGGCAAUGUUGCUGAGUCGGUAAUUCUCGAACGUGAAAGUGAAUCCACGAUGAUGUUUGUUGAGGGAGCUAAACGUGCAUACGCUGGACAUCUUACUUUAAAAUUCACACCGGAUGUAACCAGUACAGUGCCCCAUCACAAACAUUAUUGUCUUGAAAUAGGAGAAAAUUGCAGUCCUACGAUAGAUCACUGUAUAAUUCGAAGUUCCAGUGCCGUGGGUGCAGCUGUCUGUGUAUCCGGUGGCGGUGCAAAUCCAAUAGUUAAGAAUUGCGACAUUUCAGACUGUGAAAAUGUCGGGCUUUAUGUUACUGACCACGCACAAGGUACCUACGAGGAUAAUGAAAUAUCUCGGAAUGCUCUUGCCGGUAUUUGGGUAAAAAAUUACGCAAAUCCAAUAAUGCGACGGAAUCACAUACAUCACGGUCGUGAUGUUGGUAUAUUCACAUUCGAUAAUGGACUUGGUUACUUUGAGGGUAAUGACAUUCACAACAAUCGUAUUGCCGGUUUUGAAGUUAAGGCAGGCGCAAAUCCCACAGUUACCCAAUGUGAAAUUCAUCAUGGUCAAACUGGUGGUAUUUAUGUUCACGAGAAUGGUCUUGGCCAAUUUAUUGACAACAAAAUUCAUUCGAAUAAUUUUGCUGGUGUUUGGAUAACUUCUAAUUCGAAUCCAACUAUACGUCGUAAUGAAAUUUACAACGGUCAUCAAGGUGGUGUUUACAUAUUUGGUGAGGGUAGAGGUUUGAUUGAGCAUAACAAUAUUUACGGGAAUGCUCUUGCUGGUAUUCAAAUACGAACCAAUUCAGAUCCAAUUGUUAGACACAAUAAAAUUCAUCACGGUCAACACGGUGGUAUUUAUGUUCAUGAAAAAGGGCAAGGGCUUAUAGAAGAAAAUGAAGUUUAUGCAAAUACUUUGGCUGGUGUUUGGAUCACUACUGGAUCGACGCCGAUAUUAAGGAGAAAUCGAAUUCACAGCGGCAAACAAGUUGGUGUUUAUUUUUAUGAUAAUGGACAUGGGAAACUUGAAGACAAUGAUAUCUUUAAUCACCUGUACUCAGGAGUACAAAUAAGGACUGGAAGUAAUCCCGUUAUUCGAGGAAACAAGAUAUGGGGUGGCCAAAAUGGCGGUGUCCUCGUAUACAACAGUGGUCUGGGGUUACUCGAGCAGAACGAAAUAUUCGAUAACGCUAUGGCUGGCGUUUGGAUAAAGACAGACAGUAAUCCAACCCUCAAGAGGAACAAAAUAUUCGAUGGGCGGGAUGGUGGGAUAUGUAUAUUCAACGGCGGUAAAGGAAUUCUGGAGGAAAACGAUAUUUUCCGUAAUGCUCAAGCCGGAGUACUUAUAUCAACGCAAUCGUACCCAGUAUUGAGGAGAAACCGUAUAUUCGAUGGACUUGCUGCCGGUGUAGAAAUAACUAAUAAUGCAACUGCAACUUUAGAGUUUAAUCAAAUUUUUAAUAAUCGAUUUGGAGGAUUAUGUUUAGCAAGUGGAGUUCAGCCAACUUCAAGAGGUAAUAAAAUAUUCAGUAAUCAAGACGCUGUAGAAAAGGCCGUUGAAAACGGUCAAUGCUUGUAUAAAAUAUCAUCAUACACGUCGUUUCCGAUGCACGACUUCUAUCGCUGUCAAACGUGCAACACAACUGAUAGAAAUGCUAUUUGUGUCAACUGCAUAAAAACUUGUCAUGCUGGCCACGAUGUUGAGUUUAUAAGACACGAUAGAUUCUUUUGUGACUGUGGUGCAGGAACGUUAAGUAAUCAAUGCCAGCUUCAGGGUGAGCCUACGCAAGAUACUGACACGUUGUACGAUAGUGCUGCACCUAUGGAGUCGCAUACACUUAUGGUCAACUAGGAAUUAACUUAAUAAAUAAUAUUAAAAAUAAUAAUUACGGUAAUAAAUAAUUACAAGUAAAAGUAUAACAGGAAAAAAAAAAAAAAAAAAAAGAAUAAAAACAAAAAAAAAGGAAACAAAAGGAUAAACAAUCAAAUCAUCACGGAAUUGUGCGUCUUGAACGUGAUUGCAAACAACAUCACGACAGAAUAUUUUACCGUGACACUUGAGCGAUUUUUAAUCUGGUUAAUACAAGCAACCAACCAGACAAAAAAUAACAAAAGCUCGGCCACAAAAAAUAUAUAAAGAAUAAAAGGUAUAUACGUCUGAGGAAAAUAAAGCACAGUGACAUCGAAAAGUAAAGCAGGGUAACGCGAUCAUCGUAAGUCACAUCAAGAGUCUCGUACUCUGGCACUCUACUGUAUGCUAUAUAGAUAGAUAGAUCUAUUGUGUAUCAGCUAACUGGUGAAACUUGCAACUGCAACACUUGAGAGUUCUUUCUGGGUUCCGGCUAUCGAUCUAUCGUGGGUCACGCUAAUUUAUCGAUACCACCCUACGCUCUCGACUUUGUUCGUGGUAAUCGGCACAUUUAUCUCUCGUUACCGUGUACUGUGCACUCUGUACACUCUGUAGACUCUGUAGUGUACCUGUGCCUGACCCCAUGUACAUUGACUCCUUUCUCAACUCAUCUACAUGCUGAUCGAGCAUGCACAAUACGUAACGAGUGUAACUAAACGUGCCCUACCACAUAUCACACAUAUAUAACAUCCAACAUUCUCGGCAUUAUUCUACCAUUCACAGCGACAUUUUCCCAUUUUUAAUUUAGUUAAAAUUAAAAUAAUAGAACGACGUUUAUAGAGCUCCGCACUCUAUUUCAAUACCGUCUAAAUAUAAAAGGAGCUUGAAGGAA
This 3892-nucleotide unclassified non-coding RNA is filed under the name Cotesia glomerata. RNAcentral describes it as "f-box only protein 11, transcript variant X4". Lineage: Eukaryota; Metazoa; Arthropoda; Insecta; Hymenoptera; Braconidae. The record is from RNAcentral.